This 465-nucleotide ribosomal RNA is filed under the name uncultured Streptococcus sp. RNAcentral describes it as "bacterial SSU rRNA". It matches the Rfam family "Bacterial small subunit ribosomal RNA", at positions 338 to 795 of the family's 1533-position model. The record is from RNAcentral. Lineage: Bacteria; Bacillati; Bacillota; Bacilli; Lactobacillales; Streptococcaceae.
CCUACGGGGGGCUGCAGUAGGGAAUCUUCGGCAAUGGACGGAAGUCUGACCGAGCAACGCCGCGUGAGUGAAGAAGGUUUUCGGAUCGUAAAGCUCUGUUGUAAGAGAAGAACGAGUGUGAGAGUGGAAAGUUCACACUGUGACGGUAUCUUACCAGAAAGGGACGGCUAACUACGUGCCAGCAGCCGCGGUAAUACGUAGGUCCCGAGCGUUGUCCGGAUUUAUUGGGCGUAAAGCGAGCGCAGGCGGUUAGAUAAGUCUGAAGUUAAAGGCUGUGGCUUAACCAUAGUACGCUUUGGAAACUGUUUAACUUGAGUGCAAGAGGGGAGAGUGGAAUUCCAUGUGUAGCGGUGAAAUGCGUAGAUAUAUGGAGGAACACCGGUGGCGAAAGCGGCUCUCUGGCUUGUAACUGACGCUGAGGCUCGAAAGCGUGGGGAGCAAACAGGAUUAGAUACCCCAGUAGUC